Molecule: ribosomal RNA, 456 nt
Filed under: uncultured bacterium
Lineage: Bacteria
Description: SSU rRNA
Rfam family: Bacterial small subunit ribosomal RNA
Source: RNAcentral
AGAAUCAACGCUGGCGGCGUGCCUAACACAUGCAAGUCGAACGAGAAAGUGGAGCAAUCCAUGAGUAAAGUGGCGCACGGGUGAGUAACACGUGACUAACCUACCCUUGAGUGGGGGAUAACCUAGGGAACCUGGGCUAAUACCGCAUAAUACCUUCGGGUCAAAGGAGCAAUUCGCUUAAGGAGGGGGUCGCGGCCGAUUAGUUAGUUGGCGGGGUAAUGGCCCACCAAGACUAUGAUCGGUAUCCGGCCUGAGAGGGCGCACGGACACACUGGAACUGAAACACGGUCCAGACUCCUACGGGAGGCAGCAGUGGGGAAUUUUGCGCAAUGGGGAACCCUGACGCAGCAACGCCGCGUGGAGGAUGAAGUCCCUUGGGACGUAAACUCCUUUCGAUCGGGACGAUUAUGACGGUACCGAGAGAAGAAGCCCGGCUAACUUCGCGCCAGCAGCCGC